AUGGCGUGGGAGGGGGGCGGGGGGCGUUACGGAUUCUGGGCGUAANGCGCACGCAGGCGGUCUGUCAAGUCCGAUGUGAAAGCCCCGAGCUUAACUUGGGAAUUGCAUCUGAAACUGGUUGGCUAGAGUCUUGUAGAGGGGGGUAGAAUUCCAUGUGUAGCGGUGAAAUGCGUAGAGAUGUGGAGGAAUACCGGUGGCGAAGGCGGCCCCCUGGACAAAGACUGACGCUCAGGUGCGAAAGCGUGGGGAGCAAACAGGAUUAGAUACCCUGGUAGUCCACGCUGUAAACGAUGUCGAUUUAGAGGUUGUGGUCNUUGNAACCGUGGCUUCUGGAGCUAACGCGUUAAAUCGACCGCCUGGGGAGUACGGCCGCAAGGUUAAAACUCAAAUGAAUUGACGGGGGCCCGCACAAGCGGUGGAGCAUGUGGUUUAAUUCGACAACGCGGGGGCAACCUUAGGUCUUGACAUCCACAGAACUUUCCGAGAUGCNNAUUGGUGCCUUCNNGUGAACUGUGAGACCGGUGCUGCAUGGCUGUCGUCCGCUCCUGUUGUAAAAAAGUUGGGUUACGGCCCGCACCAACCGGAACCCUUAUCCCUGUUUUUGCCCCCCCGUUCUUCCCGGCAAAUCAAACGAAACUGGCCCGUG
RNAcentral lists this ribosomal RNA (646 nucleotides) under Proteus mirabilis. RNAcentral's name for it is "partial 16S ribosomal RNA". It matches the Rfam family "Bacterial small subunit ribosomal RNA", at positions 515 to 1157 of the family's 1533-position model. The record is from RNAcentral. Lineage: Bacteria; Pseudomonadati; Pseudomonadota; Gammaproteobacteria; Enterobacterales; Morganellaceae.